CAAUAGCGUAUAUUUAAGUUGCUGCAGUUAAAAAGCUCGUAGUUGGAUUUCGGGUGGGAAUGGCCGGUCCGCCGUUUCGGUGUGCACUUGCUACGCCCACCUUGCUGCCGGGGACGUGCUCUUGAGUUCACGCUCGGGACACGGAGUCGGCGAGGUUACUUUGAGUAAAAUAGAGUGUUCAAAGCAGGCCUACGCUCUGAAUACAUUAGCAUGGAAUAACACGAUAGGACUCUGGCCUAUCUUGUUGGUCUGUAGGACCGGAGUAAUGAUUAAGAGGGACAGUCGGGGGCAUUCGUAUUUCAUUGUCAGAGGUGAAAUUCUUGGAUUUAUGAAAGACGAACUACUGCGAAAGCAUUUGCCAAGGAUGUUUUCAUUAA
RNAcentral lists this ribosomal RNA (377 nucleotides) under uncultured eukaryote. Its description in RNAcentral is "partial 18S ribosomal RNA". It matches the Rfam family "Eukaryotic small subunit ribosomal RNA", at positions 592 to 976 of the family's 1831-position model. The record is from RNAcentral.